Molecule: long non-coding RNA, 424 nt
Organism: Dromaius novaehollandiae (emu)
Lineage: Eukaryota; Metazoa; Chordata; Aves; Casuariiformes; Dromaiidae
Exons: 3
Source: RefSeq, a predicted model, not a curated record
GGGUGAUUUGGGCCCUCAUCCUGGGUGAGGAAAUUCUGAGCUUGAGGCUGUACUUCAAUGUCUAAUUCUUUUUCCCUUUAUCCUUCCAGCUUUGUAAAGGUAAACUGGAGGCUGUGGAUCUGAUUGAAUAGCACUCCUGUCAAGAGGAUAUAAAUGCAGAGUAACUUCAAGAGCAUCUCUUGACUUACACCACCAUUCAUUGGGCAUGACUGUCAGUCCCAGACACCUCCCUGAACUCCCCUUCUCUUUUUCAGGCAAGAACCAAUCUGCUGGAUGAGUCGUAUAAACAUUUUUGUAUCAGUAGAACAAAUCCAUGUUAUACAGCGCUUUACAAGACACAGUGUUUAGUAUCACGAAUUAAUUGAGAGUAAGAAGGAGGAAAGUAAACUUGGCUCCCCCGGUGAGAAGAAGCUGAUUAUUUCAC